This 330-nucleotide ribosomal RNA is filed under the name uncultured eukaryote. Its description in RNAcentral is "partial 18S ribosomal RNA". It matches the Rfam family "Eukaryotic small subunit ribosomal RNA", at positions 1470 to 1796 of the family's 1831-position model. The record is from RNAcentral.
CCCUUAGAUGUUCUGGGCCGCACGCGCGCUACAUUGAUGCAUUCAACGAGUCUAAAACCUGGUCUGAUAGGGCUGGGUAAUCUUUUGAAAGUGCAUCGUGAUUGGGAUAGAUGAUUGCAAUUCUUCAUCUUCAACGAGGAAUGCCUAGUAAACGCAAGUCAUCAGCUUGCAUUGAUUACGUCCCUGCCCUUUGUACACACCGCCCGUCGCUCCUACCGAUUGAAUGAUCCGAUGAAUACCAUGGAUUGAGAGUACGAAUGGGUUCGCUCAUUUCUGCUGCUCGAGAAGUGGAGUAAAUCUUAUCAUUUAGAGGAAGGAGAAGUCGUAACA